GUAGUCAUAUGCUUGUCUCAAAGAUUAAGCCAUGCAUGUCUAAGUAUAAACUGCUUAUACUGUGAAACUGCGAAUGGCUCAUUAAAUCAGUUAUAGUUUAUUUGAUGGUACUCUUUACUCGGAUAACCGUAGUAAUUCUAGAGCUAAUACGUGCGUAAAUCCCGACUUCUGGAAGGGACGUAUUUAUUAGAUAAAAGGCCAGCCGGGCUUGCCCGACUCUUGGCGAAUCAUGAUAACUUC
RNAcentral lists this ribosomal RNA (240 nucleotides) under uncultured Tetracystis. RNAcentral's name for it is "partial small subunit ribosomal RNA". It matches the Rfam family "Eukaryotic small subunit ribosomal RNA", at positions 20 to 263 of the family's 1831-position model. The record is from RNAcentral. Lineage: Eukaryota; Viridiplantae; Chlorophyta; Chlorophyceae; Chlamydomonadales.